This is a long non-coding RNA of Cyprinus carpio carpio, 2970 nucleotides long. Lineage: Eukaryota; Metazoa; Chordata; Actinopteri; Cypriniformes; Cyprinidae. The record is from Ensembl.
CUCAACCGCUUGAUCUCACAGCGCAGGAAAUAACUAGCCUUUAGCAUUGAUCUGGAAAAAAUUUUCACGACACCUAUUUAAUACGAUGGAUUUUCCCCUCAUCUGCAGGAUCUGUGUCCAAUUUUUUAGCGCACUUGAAAAAUGGCACAGGAAGUGCUUAAGAAGUGCACUAUGACUGGCCAGCCACAAAUAUGCGGUGAGCUGCUUUUAGGAUCGAGACAGAUCUAAAUAUGGAAAGAACACAAAUAAUGAAGUGCAGCUGGGUUUAGCUCCCAUGCGAUGAGGUGCUAUUGUUGCUGGGACAUUUCUUGAGGUUUUUAUUCUGAGAAACAGAUCAAAAUGGGUCUCGUACCACACCUUCAUUAGCACAGGUCUCCGAUCCGCAUACCCUUUAACUCGGUAGAGAAACCGGAUCUCCAGAUGCUCUUAUCCAGCACUGUCUGGGCGAGAGGAUGACGAGAGGCUCUCAAGCGCUGAGGGAGGAAGGACAUCUGUGUGGGGUUCAGUGCGACCCAUGAUUAAUAGAGUAAAGGUGAGGGGAGGCUACACCUUUGGCUCACUGGAUCUUAAUGGUGAGCAUGAGCUAUUCCCAUCGGAGCCUCCAUGAAAACCACCGCAAAGACAUACAACAUCUAAUGAGGGCAGGACUGGAGUCCAGGUUCAGGCUGUGAUGUAAUUCUGGCAUGAUCAAAACCUUCCAUAGAGCUUCUAUGGUGCAAAUUGACACACUGGGCCUGGAAAACUGCGCCUAGAUGGACAUUUUAAAACAAGACUUAAAAUGGCAUGAAAACAUGCUCUUUGGAAGUUUUUGGUUUUGUCUUCUCCAGAUGUUAACUGAUGGACUGGAGUGCUGUGGAUUACUUGUGGAUUAUUGUGAUGUUUUUAUCAGCUGUUUGGACUCUCAUUCUGACGGCACCCAUUCACUGCAGAGCAUCCAUUGCUGAGACACUGAUGCAAUGCUACGUUUCUACAAAUCUGAUGAAGAAACAAACUCAUCUACAUGUCGUAUGACCUGAGGGUGACUACAUUUAAAUGCUCAUUUUUGGGUGAACUAUUCCUUUAAAGCAUGAUACAAGCUGAGUCAUGAGGAAUCUGAACCCCUUGAACAUGCACAGCAAAACACUGACAUUAAAAUAGAGCUCAGCUCGUGCAUAUAAUCAAAGGCAUGCACUGCUCCAUCCAACAAUCUGCCGUGUGCCUUCAGGAGCAGCUCAUCGACCGUCCAAAACCGCAGACCUGAUCUAAACAACAAAUUUUCAUUAGCAGAGUCACAACAAAUCUGGCCGUGGAUCCAGUCCCAGCGUAUACGAGCCGCUCCAUUCUGUUAUCGUGAACCGCCCAAAACACUCUGAGCUGAAACAGCUGUGAAGAAUUGAGAUUUCCACACUGGGCUGGAGAAACAGAUGCAAGUUCUGCUGCAGGUACAGUAGAGGUUCUGGCCAGCGGAAACAAUCGUGUGUUUGUGCCCUUGAACCUGUUUUAAAGGAUCACGCUUAUCAGUUCAGUUAUGAGCGGAUUACCGUAUGCAAUAUGAGAGCCUUCACUGUUCAGCAGCUACUUGUGUGUGUCAACCGGAGAUUUAGGACAACGUUGUUAUUAUACUGACUGAAGAAUCUGACCAAAGUAAAAUGCUACAAAUAUCUAAACAUUCAUCUUCUGCAAAAUGAGAUUUUUAUUAAACUCUGUUUCUCCUGGACUGCACAAUUAAUUCGGAUUCAUUAUGCUUUCAAAAGGUCAUGCAAACAGAAAAAUGAAAACACUUUAACUGUGCCAAAUCAUUUCUAGUUAGAUGGUAAAAAAUUAUUUUUCAAAGCUGUAAAUAAGAUUACUGGGGUAUGUUUUUCAAGAAAAUACUAUUUUAUUCUUUUUACUUCAAAAUGUCAUAUAUAUAUAUAUAUAUCUCCUCAUACAUAAUGUGUUACUUGCCAUUUCUUUGUCUUUUUAUUUAUUUAUUUAUUUAUUAACUUACUUAUUGUAAGAUUUACUAGUAAUUUCUAAGUGAAAAUGUUUCAAAGUAAAUCACUACACUGUAAAAAAAAAUUGAAUACAUUUUACAACAAAAUAUUUCAGUCAUUUUACUUAAAAAUCUUACAUGCAAUUCAAUGAGUUACUUGCUGUUUGAAUAUUAUAUAUUUUUGAAGUUAUAAAUAAAAUAAAGAUUAUUGUCUAGCAUAAAAAAAAUUAUAUUUCAGGUUUUCUAAAAUUUCACAUUUAAUUCAUUGUGUUACUUGCCGUUUGUUUGUAAUUAUAUGUGAAAUUUACCAGCAAUUUCUGAGUGAAAAUUGUUUCAACACGGGAGGAAAAAUUCCAAGUUGUAAAUAAAACAAAUAUAACUGGAGUAGGUUUCACAAGAAAAAUACUAUUUCAGUCUUUCUGCUUUGACAUUUCAUGUUUAAUCCAAUGGGUUACUUGCAAUUAUUAUUAUUAUUUUUUUUAAAUGUAACCAUUUGUGAGUGAAAAUUAUUUAAACAAUAAAUAAAGAUUAGAGUAUGUUUUACAAGAAAAUACUAUUUCAGUCUUUCUAAUUGACAAUUUCAGGUUUAAUCGAAUGUGUUUUGCUGUUUCUUUGUAAUUAUUUGUGAAAUUUAGUAAUUUGUGCUCAUAUGAACACAUGCAAAAUGUAUCUGUUGUUUUGAUAAUGAGCUUUCAUUCUCACCAGAGCAACCAUGCAUUAGUUCUUAAAUCUGAAAGUGCUGAAAGUGAAAGUUCAAAAGAGGCUUUUCUUGAAAACUCCCGUCGAACCGCGAGAUUGCCGUCUCUGUCUUUCUCUAUAAAGUCACACUAGAGCACAGCGCUGAUAGUGAGAAGGUCGACGACGAGUAAGAACGCAGCAUCAGUGCCAGCGAGGGCUGAUAACAGCCGAGACGGAAGACGGGCCUCCUCAUCCAUCACAGAGAGAGCGUUUGACCUCCUGAUCAUUAAAAACUUCAGCGCACAAAUGUGAACGGGAAGCAGAAGACACACAAGAAG